UGUUGUAGUAUAUAUGACUCAUGAUGAAGUAUGAGUCAUAGUAUAAAUGUCUAUAUCAUGUAUAAGAUAGGUAUUUGAGUGUAAAGAUAGGUGCUUGAGUGUAUAAUGUAGGUAUAGUGACUUGUGUGACAAGCUUUAUGCCAAAGGGGAACAAGUAUGGCAAUCAUCAUCAUCAAAGCCACAAUCUACAAAUGAAGAUGCCAUCAAGUUGUAUUAUUAUUUAAGCACUCACACUUCAAAUGUAUUCCUAUAAAUACCUCUAUUGUAUGAGAUG
RNAcentral lists this long non-coding RNA (274 nucleotides) under Rosa chinensis. RNAcentral's name for it is "sRNA RchiOBHm_Chr3g0449151". Lineage: Eukaryota; Viridiplantae; Streptophyta; Magnoliopsida; Rosales; Rosaceae. The record is from RNAcentral.